CCUGGUGGCUCAGAUGGGAAAGAAUCUGUCUGCAAUACAGGAGACCCAGGUUUGAUCCCUGGAACCAGGU
This 70-nucleotide transfer RNA is filed under the name Bos taurus (domestic cattle). It matches the Rfam family "tRNA". Rfam says of the family: Transfer RNA (tRNA) molecules are approximately 80 nucleotides in length. Their secondary structure includes four short double-helical elements and three loops (D, anti-codon, and T loops). The record is from Rfam by way of RNAcentral. Lineage: Eukaryota; Metazoa; Chordata; Mammalia; Artiodactyla; Bovidae. RNAcentral also lists the same sequence under 5 other names.